AUGGCCAAGGGCGACAUCUCCCUCGCCGACGCCCUCGCCGAGGCUACUGCCGCUGAGGCCACCCGCCAAUCAGCAGCCCGGAUGCGACAAGCAAACACGACUGAACGGCCACUGACCAACGAAGUGACCCCAGCCCCAGCGACGCCCGGAGAAGCCAGCCACCGAGAAACAACCACACAUCAUGGAUUCAUUCAUGAUGAGAAAAGCUUCCAGCAGAAAGGUUUUAAUUCCCAGGUGUGCCUUGCUGUUCCUCAAAGAUGGUUCUGUUCAGUGUAUCCUGGCACAUACACUUUCAGUACCAAUAGUGUCGUCAAUAUCACCCAAGCAGAUUGGUUGCAAGGAAAUACUUACUACUGCCAGGUAACCCACGAAGCAUCCCAAACAAGGACGAAAAGCAGAACCAGGAAAUGUGAAGAUGCCACCAGUCAGUUCUACUCUGGGGUUGCCACCUACCUUCUGCCCCCUCAACCAAAAGAUCUGUACAUCAACAUAAAUGGCAGGAUUGCUUGUGUGGUUGUCAAUCUACAACAGGAAGAGGGGUUGAAAAUAAGCUGGUCACGCGAGAAGGAAGUCGCCACACAUCCAGAAUUGGUGGCAGUGACCGAGGAAAACAAUGGGACCUUCACUGCUGUCAGCCACCUCCCUGUGUCUGCCCAUGAUUGGGAAUCAGGAGAGACUUUCACCUGUUCGGUGGAAUAUCCAGGUUUGCCGGGUCCCAUUGUGAAGACAAUUUCCAAGAAGAGAGAAAAGAGCAACGCACCCGUCAUCCAUAUCUACCCUCCCAUCCCUGGCAAUUCGCUUAUCCUCACCUGCUUUAUUCGAGACUUUGUUCCAGAGGAUCUAGAUGUCCAGUGGCUAAAGGAUGGCAAUAGCAUUUCAGAAGAUGACUAUGUCAACACCCCAGCUGUGAAGGAAAAGACAGGCAAUUCCCACUUCAUGUAUAGCAAACUCGCAAUCUCUAAAUCAUCUUGGGAAAAUGGGGACACAUAUAGCUGUAUGGUCGUCCAUGAAGCCCUUGAAAUGAAGUUCACCCAGAAGAACAUACAGAAAACUUCAGGUAAACGUUGAAGACUCAAACAUGUGUUGUCCUCCUAGAUUUGUCUCUCACGGUGUUGGAUCCAAAUCCUUGUAAAUAGUUUACACACUUAUGUAUUUGGCUGCUGGCUAAAUAAAAGCAAACCAACUCACA
Molecule: non-coding RNA, 1189 nt
Organism: Pseudonaja textilis
Lineage: Eukaryota; Metazoa; Chordata; Lepidosauria; Squamata; Elapidae
Source: the annotation of a RefSeq genome assembly